This 73-nucleotide transfer RNA is filed under the name Zea mays. It matches the Rfam family "tRNA". Rfam says of the family: Transfer RNA (tRNA) molecules are approximately 80 nucleotides in length. Lineage: Eukaryota; Viridiplantae; Streptophyta; Magnoliopsida; Poales; Poaceae. The record is from Rfam by way of RNAcentral.
GCCCACCUAGCUCAGUUAGUAGAGCACAAAGCUCUUAACCUUCUGGUUGUGGGUUCAAGCCCCAUAAUGGGUG